CGUUGAGUUUCGGUAUUUGUCAGUUACAAUACCAAACAUUGUUUUCAAGAUUGGACUAGUUUACAAAAACACGAAUGGAAUCUGAAAAUAUUACGGAGCAAUACGCAGUUAUAGUGGCGGUCGCUCUUCAUACAUUCGUGUGUAUGUAUGGAUUCGGGCUAGUCGGUCACUUUAAAAACAAUGAAUCAGAUCGUGAAUUACGAGAGAGCACUCCGGUAAAAACAUUGUUUCAUUAAAUAACUCGCAACUUUCCUGCCUUCUAGACCCCCAUGACAGGAUUCAAAAUAAACUAGAAUGAUGCAUCUUCAAUGAACACCGGAUCUACGAAUGAAAUAGAGAGAGAGAGAGAGCAGAAUCAUAGCUGAGCACAGUCCCGGUGAUGCUUCAAUAGAUGCUGAUUUAACCACUACCGAGAUCAUGUCGGAGGUGAUACAUGAUGAGAACAGUACGGCACUACUGCGAGAAUUUAACAAACAUUCAAACUCGCUAGCGAUAAAAUGUUCAACAUGAAUGUUCUUUAUUACACUAGAAUUAUUUGUUUUCAAUUUCA
Long non-coding RNA from Toxorhynchites rutilus septentrionalis, 550 nucleotides. RefSeq lists it as uncharacterized. The transcript is spliced from 2 exons. Lineage: Eukaryota; Metazoa; Arthropoda; Insecta; Diptera; Culicidae. The record is from RefSeq and is a predicted model, not a curated record.